This 546-nucleotide ribosomal RNA is filed under the name uncultured archaeon. RNAcentral's name for it is "bacterial SSU rRNA". It matches the Rfam family "Archaeal small subunit ribosomal RNA", at positions 326 to 872 of the family's 1478-position model. The record is from RNAcentral.
CGGGGUGCAGCAGGCGCGAAAACUUUACAAUGCCGGCAGCGGCGAUAAGGGAACCUCGAGUGCCAGGUUACAAAUCUGGCUGUCGUGAUGCCUAAAAAGCAUUGCAUAGCAAGGGCCGGGCAAGACCGGUGCCAGCCGCCGCGGUAACACCGGCGGCUCGAGUGGUAACCGUUAUUAUUGGGUCUAAAGGGUCUGUAGCCGGCCGGGUAAGUCUCUUGGGAAAUCUGGUAGCUUAACUGUCAGGCUUUCAGGAGAUACUGCCUGGCUCGAGGCCGGGAGAGGUGAGAGGUACUUCAGGGGUAGGGGUGAAAUCUUGUAAUCCUUGAAGGACCACCAGUGGCGAAGGCGUCUCACCAGAACGGACCUGACGGCAAGGGACGAAAGCUAGGGGCACGAACCGGAUUAGAUACCCGGGUAGUCCUAGCCGUAAACGAUACUCGCUAGGUGUCGGCCACGGUGCGACCGUGGUCGGUGCCGUAGGGAAGCCGUGAAGCGAGCCACCUGGGAAGUACGGCCGCAAGGCUGAAACUUAAAGGAAUUGGCGGG